GUGCGCACGCUCACACCUGCGCCGCGCACACGCGUGCACACCGCACACGCGCAGGGCGGCCCGGCACGGCCGUCUGGCCCGACCCCGUCGCGUCACUUGUGGGAAAGGAAAGACGAGCCGGUGGGAGGCGCGGCUGGGGCGCUGGCUCCGGCCUGGCCGGGUUCUGCGGCUGCCCCGUGUGGCUUCCCGGUGGCCGGGUCCCUGCCGGGGCCAUGGGCACCGUCUGGGAGUCGUUUUUGAUUAGACAUUGAC
RNAcentral lists this long non-coding RNA (252 nucleotides) under Chinchilla lanigera (long-tailed chinchilla). RNAcentral describes it as "lncRNA (ENSCLAG00000023852.1)". Lineage: Eukaryota; Metazoa; Chordata; Mammalia; Rodentia; Chinchillidae. The record is from RNAcentral.